Molecule: non-coding RNA, 465 nt
Organism: Myotis lucifugus (little brown bat)
Lineage: Eukaryota; Metazoa; Chordata; Mammalia; Chiroptera; Vespertilionidae
Source: the annotation of a RefSeq genome assembly
AUGGCCUGGACUCCUCUGCUCCUCGUGCUCCUCUCUCACUGCACAGGGUCCCUCUCCCAGCAGCCUGUGCUGACUCAGCCGCCCUCCCUCUCUGCAUCUCCGGGAGCCACAGCCAGACUCACCUGCACCUUGAGCAGUGGCUCCAGUGUUGGCAGCUACUGGAUAUCCUGGUACCAGCAGAAGCCAGGGAGCCGUCCCCGGUACCUCCUGGCCUACUACUCAGACUCAGAUAAGCUCCAGGGCUCCGGGGUCCCCAGCCGCUUUUCUGGAUCCAAAGAUGCCUCAGCCAAUGCGGGGCUCCUGACCAUCUCGGGGCUGCAGCCUGAGGAUGAGGCUGACUAUUACUGUAACACAUAUGAAGGCAACUCUGACACUUACACAGUGGUCCAGACCCACAGGGAAGUGAGACAAAAACCUCCUCUCCGCUCUCCCUGCCUGACCUUGGCCCCUGCUGGUGGUGUCUAA